This 448-nucleotide ribosomal RNA is filed under the name uncultured Alphaproteobacteria bacterium. RNAcentral describes it as "bacterial SSU rRNA". It matches the Rfam family "Bacterial small subunit ribosomal RNA", at positions 38 to 526 of the family's 1533-position model. Lineage: Bacteria; Pseudomonadati; Pseudomonadota; Alphaproteobacteria. The record is from RNAcentral.
GGCGGCAUGCUUAACACAUGCAAGUCGCACGAACGGUUUCGGCCGUUAGUGGCGGACGGGUGAGUAUCGCGUAGGAAUCUAUCCAUGGGUGGGGGACAACUCCGGGAAACUGGAGCUAAUACCGCAUGAUGCCUGAGGGCCAAAGGUUGCAAGACCGCCUGUGGAGGAGCCUGCGUUCGAUUAGCUUGUUGGUGGGGUAAUGGCCUACCAAGGCGAUGAUCGAUAGCUGGUCUGAGAGGAUGAUCAGCCACACUGGGACUGAGACACGGCCCAGACUCCUACGGGAGGCAGCAGUGGGGAAUAUUGGACAAUGGGCGCAAGCCUGAUCCAGCGAUGCCGCGUGUGUGAAGAAGGUCUUAGGAUUGUAAAGCACUUUCGACGGGGACGAUGAUGACGGUACCCGUAGAAGAAGCCCCGGCUAACUUCGUGCCAGCAGCCGCGGUAACAC